AAGUCGUAACAAGGUUUCCGUAGGUGAACCUGCGGAAGGAUCAUUAACAAUGCAUCCAUCAUCUUUUCUUGAUCGUGACGUCCCAUCUCAGCUUAUCCGUGAGGCCGUGCCUUUGCUGGCCGGUCUGACGGGCAACCUCGCUCUCUGUUCGCAGCAUCUCAAAUUUUCAACCAUUGUUAUCUAAAUCAAAUACAACUUUCAACAACGGAUCUCUUGGCUCUC
Molecule: unclassified non-coding RNA, 222 nt
Filed under: fungal sp.
Lineage: Eukaryota; Fungi
Description: partial internal transcribed spacer region
Rfam family: Eukaryotic small subunit ribosomal RNA (bases 1-46)
Source: RNAcentral